This 253-nucleotide ribosomal RNA is filed under the name uncultured bacterium. RNAcentral describes it as "partial 16S ribosomal RNA". It matches the Rfam family "Bacterial small subunit ribosomal RNA", at positions 524 to 776 of the family's 1533-position model. The record is from RNAcentral.
UACGAAGGGGGCUAGCGUUGCUCGGAAUCACUGGGCGUAAAGGGUGCGUAGGCGGGUCUUUAAGUCAGGGGUGAAAUCCUGGAGCUCAACUCCAGAACUGCCUUUGAUACUGAAGAUCUUGAGUUCGGGAGAGGUGAGUGGAACUGCGAGUGUAGAGGUGAAAUUCGUAGAUAUUCGCAAGAACACCAGUGGCGAAGGCGGCAUCCUGGACCGAUAUUGACACUGAGGAGCGAAAGCCAGGGGAGCAAACGGG